CCAAAAUGGCACUCUGUAUUUAAGGCUAAGGUGUGGUGAAAUCCAGAGAAAGAAAACAUGAGAGAAGCUGGAGGAUAUUCAGAGCUGGAGAUGCCAGAAAAUGUGCAUUUUCAGAGCUCAAGGUGCACGUAGGUGCAAAGGAAGCCCUGUGGCUCCAUGUGUCAGUGGGACUGGGAGCAGGUCCUGAGCUGCUAGAAGCCACUGUCUGAUGUUUGGACAUCUAUCCUUGAGUGUCUUACAAGUUCCCUUUUUUCAGAAAGUAACGACCAUCAAACCUCCCAGUAGGAGGUUCCUGCAUCGGAGAGGUAUAACCAAGCAACCUUUAGGACUUAAGCCCAACUCUGUAUUUUCUAUUCCAGAAGCACACUGGAUGAGGCUCUAGCUCUUUACAACUUUGAUCCAGAAACCCCAGUGGGGAUAUUAUUGAAAACAUCAGUGCAGACAGGUUCUGGCCCUGCCCUCAUAAGAGGAAAAAGCCCUUUCGCAGUUGAGGUCUUAUUAUAUUAAGUUAAAAAUUUAUAGCAUUUAACUAGGCUGUAACCAGUUAAUGUGACUCAGGAAAGGCUGUAAUGUGGAUGGAGGCAUUACCACUUUGCCUCACUGCAGAAGUUACUGUUUUUCCAGACCUCACAUGUGAGAGGAGCCCAGUUAAAGCACGUCUAGCAAUUAGGCUGUGAGGUCACCUGAUUAAGUGAGGGGCAUCAGCAGGGUUUCAGGCUGACUGACUUCAGCUGGGCUGUGGCUAACAGCCUGAAACAUUUCUUUACCAGUGCUGUUGGGCUGAGCUCCUUCCCUACGACUUAUCAGCACCAGCAUUUCAGUAAAGCUAUGAGCGGCAGCUCUUACUGCCUGGGAACAAACUCAUGCGGCCCAGUCAGGAGGAUGGCAGCUCUACACAACCGCAGGGAGUUCCUCUGGGGCCCAGUCCGAAGCACCGGUCUGGCAGCUGCGACGUACCAAUGCUUCCCGCUCCCAAGUCUGGAUGCAGACCACGCGUUGUGUAGCCGUGCUGCUGGGGAAUGUGUGCAGCUGAUGUUUCCCACUGCGGUGGGAGCUGCAUGGUCU
RNAcentral lists this long non-coding RNA (1065 nucleotides) under Numida meleagris (helmeted guineafowl). RNAcentral describes it as "lncRNA (ENSNMEG00000000422.1)". Lineage: Eukaryota; Metazoa; Chordata; Aves; Galliformes; Numididae. The record is from RNAcentral.